Vicia faba (fava bean) is the source of this 387-nucleotide non-coding RNA. The record is from the annotation of a GenBank genome assembly. Lineage: Eukaryota; Viridiplantae; Streptophyta; Magnoliopsida; Fabales; Fabaceae.
UUCACACCCUUCUUUCAUUCAUCAUCAAACAUCACUUUUCACUUCUCAUUCCUCUGUUUUUCCUCUGUUUUCGAAAUGAAGAGAUCUCUAUCUUCACCAUGUGGAAGACUCUUCAUCUUCUUGUUUCUUCUCUUUUUCUUCUCUUUAGCUAAUUGUAGACUUCAUUCCUCAAAACACCCCUUUUCACCUUCUUCAAGAAACACUCACAACCAACAUCAUCAUCAUCUUGAUUGUGAUUCUUUUUCUAAGAGAAACACUCAUUCCUUAUGCACCAAACUACAAAGAUUGCAUAAACAAGUUUCACCUUCUAAUGAUUAUGAGAUUGAUCCAAGAUUUGGUGUAGAGAAGAGACUAGUUCCAACUGGACCAAACCCACUUCACAACUGA